Molecule: ribosomal RNA, 691 nt
Filed under: uncultured archaeon
Lineage: Archaea
Description: bacterial SSU rRNA
Rfam family: Archaeal small subunit ribosomal RNA
Source: RNAcentral
CACGUAGUCCCAUGCCCAAGGGACGUGGAUAACCUCGGGAAACUGACGAUAAACCACGAUAGGCCAAGGUUUCUGGAAUGAGCCAUGGCCGAAAUCUAUAUGGCCUUUGGAUUGGACUGCGGCCGAUCAGGCUGUUGGUGAGGUAGUGGCCCACCAAACCUGUAACCGGUACUGGCUUUGAGAGAAGGAGCCCGGAGAUGGGCACUGAGACAACGGCCCCGGCCCUAUGGGGCGCAGCAGGAACCAAACCUCUGCAAUAAGCGAAAGCUUGACUGGGUUACUCUGAGUGAUGCCCGCGAAGGGUAUCUUUUGGCACCUCUAAGAAUGGAGCAAAAGAAGGGGUGGGCAAGUCUGGUGUCACCCGCCGCGGUAAUACCCCCACCCCGAGUUGUCGGGACUAUUAUUGGGCCUAAAGCGUCCCUAGCCUGUUCUGCCAGUCCUCCAUUAAAUCCACCUGCUCAACGGAUGGGCUGCGGAGGAUACCGCAGAGCUAGGAGGCGGGAGAGGCAAACGGUACUCAGUGGGUAGGAGUAAAAUCCAUUGAUCUACUGAAGACCACCAGUGGCGAAUGCGGUUUGACACAACGCGCUCGACGGUGAGGGAUGAAAGCUGGGGGAGCAAACCAGAUUACAUACCCGGGUAGUCCCAGCUGUAAACGAUGCAGACUCGGUGAUGGGUUGGCUUCAAGCCA